RNAcentral lists this ribosomal RNA (642 nucleotides) under uncultured Desulfobacteraceae bacterium. RNAcentral's name for it is "bacterial SSU rRNA". It matches the Rfam family "Bacterial small subunit ribosomal RNA", at positions 216 to 856 of the family's 1533-position model. The record is from RNAcentral. Lineage: Bacteria; Pseudomonadati; Thermodesulfobacteriota; Desulfobacteria; Desulfobacterales; Desulfobacteraceae.
UGUUGGGAGAUGAGCCCGCGUACCAUUAGCUUGUUGGUAGGGUAAUGGCCUACCAAGGCAACGAUGGUUAGCUGGUCUGAGAGGAUGAUCAGCCACACUGGAACUGACACACGGUCCAGACUCCUACGGGAGGCAGCAGUGAGGAAUUUUGCGCAAUGGGGGAAACCCUGACGCAGCAACGCCGCGUGAGUGAUGAAGGCCUUCGGGUCGUAAAGCUCUGUCAAGUGGGAAGAAACUGCCCUGUGGUAAUAUCACCGGGCACUGACGGUACCACUGAAGGAAGCACCGGCUAACUCCGUGCCAGCAGCCGCGGUAACACGGGGGGUGCAAGCGUUAUUCGGAAUCACUGGGCGUAAAGAGCGCGUACGCGGUCUCUUAAGUCAGAUGUGAAAGCCCGGGGCUCAACCCCGGAUGUGCAUUUGAAACGGAGGGACUUGAGUAUGGGAGAGGGAUAUGGAAUUCCUGGUGUAGCUCUGAAGCGCGUAGAUGUAAGGAAGAACCCCGGGGGCGAAGCCGGCUUCCUGAUCCAUAACUGACCUGAUGCGCGAGGACUGGGAAACAAAACAAGUCUAGAAACUCCGUAGCCUCCCAUCAAACAUUGUAACUAGCGUGUAGGUCUUGAUGCUGGCGCGCGAAGCUAAG